Long non-coding RNA from Dendrobium catenatum, 434 nucleotides. RefSeq lists it as uncharacterized. NCBI's taxonomy places the organism in Eukaryota, Viridiplantae, Streptophyta, Magnoliopsida, Asparagales, Orchidaceae. The transcript is spliced from 2 exons. The record is from RefSeq and is a predicted model, not a curated record.
AAGAUUCAGAAGCUUACUUUAAUGGAUAAAGAGGUAAUUAAAUUUUAAUAUAUUUUUUUUAUCUCCAAAUAAUUUAUAUUUAACAUAAUUUUGUUUUUUUUUUAUUUUUCAGGGUUCAAAAAUAUAUGCCAUCAUGUUCAAUUAAAUAAUUGACAAAUUUUAUAACAUGCUACAGAUUGGAAAGACUUAUAUAUUUUCAAAUGGGCAAAUCAAAGCUAUAAAUAAAGAUUUCUAUAAUGUCAAUGAAAAUUUUGAGAUAAUUUUAAACAGCAUAUCAGAAAUACAAGUUGCAAUCACCGAUGAUAUAGAACCAGUCACAAAUAAUUUAUCAGUAAUUGAAGAUAUCAAGUCAAAUCCAAAUUCUCCGUCAGAUAUCAUUUUAUUAUUUCUGAACGUUUCUGAAGUGCGAGUGAUCUACAGACAAACUGAUAAAA